UACGUGGGGGCCGAGCGUUGUCCGGAGUUACUGGGCGUAAAGGGCGCGCAGGCGGCGGCGUGGGUCCGGCGUGAAAGCCCCCGGCUCAACCGGGGAGGGUCGCCGGGGACCGCGCCGCUUGAGGGCGGCAGGGGCCGGUGGAAUGCCCGGUGUAGUGGUGAAAUGCGUAGAGAUCGGGCGGAACACCCGUGGCGAAGGCGGCCGGCUGGGCCGUCCCUGACGCUGAGGCGCGAAGGCGUGGGGAGCGAACGGG
This 253-nucleotide ribosomal RNA is filed under the name uncultured bacterium. RNAcentral describes it as "partial 16S ribosomal RNA". It matches the Rfam family "Bacterial small subunit ribosomal RNA", at positions 524 to 776 of the family's 1533-position model. The record is from RNAcentral.